Molecule: long non-coding RNA, 229 nt
Filed under: Elaeis guineensis (African oil palm)
Lineage: Eukaryota; Viridiplantae; Streptophyta; Magnoliopsida; Arecales; Arecaceae
Description: long non-coding RNA (EGUI_LNC018413)
Source: RNAcentral
UAGAUCUUAUAUUGAAGUGCGUAACAUGCACUAGAGUCUAAUACUCAAUUGGAAGAAGAAAAAAAUUAUAAGAUCAAAUUUGAGCAACUCGAUAUAUCUUCCAAAGGUAUGUCUAUGUUUCUUUAGGCUUUCCAGAUAUGUACCUCUGAACUUUUUAAAGUCCUUUUAGUUACCAACAUAUUGAUCAAUUCAGUUAAACUGCUAUAAUAUUUAUUUAUAUAAUAGUUUC